UACUAUGUCAUGGCAUCUAAUGGCAUGACAUCCAAUUCUACAACUAACAUUAGAAUCAGAAUUCAUCCUAUACAUCUACAGCAUACUCAGCUUCCAUUGAUAGAUUACUCAGAACCUUUUCAAUAUAUUGAACAAGAAUAUAUCCUGAUGUAGACAUUCUAUCAUCAGCAUCCAUGUAUCCUCCCACUCUUAGCUUUUCUCCAA
Molecule: long non-coding RNA, 204 nt
Filed under: Elaeis guineensis (African oil palm)
Lineage: Eukaryota; Viridiplantae; Streptophyta; Magnoliopsida; Arecales; Arecaceae
Description: long non-coding RNA (EGUI_LNC070503)
Source: RNAcentral